CCUACGGGGGGCUGCAGUGAGGAAUAUUGGUCAAUGGGCGUAAGCCUGAACCAGCCAUCCCGCGUGAAGGAAGAAGGCGCUAUGCGUCGUAAACUUCUUUUCCAGAGGAAUAAAAUUUCGUACGUGUACGGAACUGAAGGUACUUUGGGAAUAAGCAUCGGCUAACUCCGUGCCAGCAGCCGCGGUAAUACGGAGGAUGCGAGCGUUAUCCGGAUUUAUUGGUGUGAAAGGGUGCUAAUACGUAUGAAUAGGAAACCGUCAGCUUAACUGGAGAACUGCCAUUGAUACUGUUAGUCUUGAGUACGGUCAAGGUAGGCGGAAUGUGUAAUGUAGCGGUGAAAUGCUUAGAUAUUACACAGAACACCGAUUGCGAAGGCAGCUUACUGGGCCAUUACUGACGCUGAUGCACGAAAGCGUGGGGAGCGAACAGGAUUAGAUACCCCAGUAGUC
This 450-nucleotide ribosomal RNA is filed under the name uncultured bacterium. RNAcentral describes it as "partial 16S ribosomal RNA". It matches the Rfam family "Bacterial small subunit ribosomal RNA", at positions 338 to 795 of the family's 1533-position model. The record is from RNAcentral.